UACGUAGGGUGCGAGCGUUGUCCGGAAUUAUUGGGCGUAAAGAGCUCGUAGGCGGUGUGUCGCGUCGGCCGUGAAAACCUGCAGCUUAACUGUGGGCUUGCGGUCGAUACGGGCAUCACUGGAGUUCGGCAGGGGAGACUGGAAUUCCUGGUGUAGCGGUGAAAUGCGCAGAUAUCAGGAAGAACACCCGUGGCGAAGGCGGCUCUCUGGAACGCAACUGACGCUGAGACGCGAAAGCGUGGGGAGCAAACAGG
This 254-nucleotide ribosomal RNA is filed under the name uncultured bacterium. RNAcentral's name for it is "partial 16S ribosomal RNA". It matches the Rfam family "Bacterial small subunit ribosomal RNA", at positions 524 to 776 of the family's 1533-position model. The record is from RNAcentral.